AUCACUAUCAGCCUUUUGCCUAAGAUUAAGUCUAUUUUCUGUUCUUACCACUUUAAUAUCUGAAACAUCUUCUAUCUGAGGACAAUAUAUUAAAUGGAUUUUGGGAGCAGAGAGAUGGAAUAGGAGCUUGCUCCAUCCACUCCAUGCAUCAACCAGGUAUUGCAGUAGCUCUGGGAAUGGUGCACCCUUC
Manis pentadactyla (Chinese pangolin) is the source of this 190-nucleotide small nuclear RNA. RefSeq annotates it as U2 spliceosomal RNA. The transcript has a single exon. The record is from RefSeq and is a predicted model, not a curated record. Lineage: Eukaryota; Metazoa; Chordata; Mammalia; Pholidota; Manidae.